AGAGAAAAGACGAAGACUCAGUUCUUAAGGCUGGAGGAAAUCUGUUAUUGGUAUUGGUGUCAUAUGUCUCCACCAGACAGCAGAACUGUGUGCCAAAUAUUUUCUACCUAAAAAUGAUUCUCAAUACCUGAUAAUUUUUUAUAUUUAGAAAUCUGUGAAAUACCUACAGAGUAACAGCUGCUACAGUUCUGCAUUAUGUACAUUAUUUCUCUUCAUAUCACUUUGUGAAGUAGGUAUACUGCACCUACUAAGCAUAUUUUACAUUGAGAACAUUGACUGCAGGUUUUCCUUUAUCUUAGACUAGUUUGGAUGAUUCAAUCAUAAUAUUUAUCACAACCGUACUAACUGAAAUCUGCUGCUGAUUUGGACAACUUUUACUUGCUUGGCUGGAAAUCUCAUUUGGACAGAUGCUAUCAACAUGAAGGGCUUAACUAUUUGCUGUGUGGAUAAAUGGAUUGGAAAUGCGACUAAUCUGUCAAAUACCCACAUUUUUAGUAGUAUGGAACAAGUUUGAAACUCAGCCUAUUACUGCUUGUAUAUUCUCUACCCUUGGUUCUGUCUUUGCUUAAGGAUUUGAUACUGACAUGCUGACUGCCUUUUCAUAAUGCAGUUGGAGCCCAGUGGAACUCUUGCUUUCACUCUGUCAUAUCCAUAUAAACUGGACAGGCAGAACAGUACCACCGCCAAAACAGAGUACUGUUUUGAAGACAACGUAAUAACAGAGAGCCAUUAUCUCAGCCUUCUUCACAACUGUAGCUGUGACUAUGCCUGGGACUAUGCCUAGCUGAAGCCGAGAACUGGGAACAAAAUCUUGGUUAUACCGUUGGAGGAAGGAGUCAACAACAUAAGCUAUCAUGUGCUAUUUCUCAAUGUGCACAUUAACUAGAAGCUGGAACUAGGAGUGCAGCACAGUCUUGUACCCUGGUACUGUGAUAUAGAAUGUAGGUAUCCCAAACAAUGACUUAAUUUCUAGGCAAAAUACACAACCCUGGAAUUAUUAGAAUUUUUCUUUAGCUUAAAAUAUUUUCUGUUUUGAACCAUUGGUUAUUUGGACACAUGAUGCCUACCUAUUUGGAUUUUUCGAAUUUCCUUCUGAUUUUCCUUUCUAAUUUCAUUCAUUUGCAAUCCAAAAAAUAUCUGUUCUAUUACUUUAGAAGUUCUAAAUUAUUGAGCCUUGUUUGAUGACCUAAAACAUGGUAUAAUCUGGAGUACAUUGUAUGUGCUGAAGAGAAUGUACUGUUUCUGGAUGCAAUAUUUUAUACAUAUAAAAUAGGAAUAGUUUGAUAAUGGUGUUCAAGUCUUACACAUCCUUGUUGAUUUGCUCUCUCUUAUUACAAGGUGUAUGCCAUCAUUAUUAUCCCCAACUGUUACUUUGAAAUUAUCCAGAGGGCUCCAAAAUGGCAGAAUAGGGAAGGAGCUCACUGAUGGUCCAGGAAAAGAUAGUUUAAUAAAAGUGGAGAUUCUAUAGUCUCA
RNAcentral lists this long non-coding RNA (1473 nucleotides) under Oryctolagus cuniculus (rabbit). RNAcentral describes it as "lncRNA (ENSOCUG00000038664.1)". The record is from RNAcentral. Lineage: Eukaryota; Metazoa; Chordata; Mammalia; Lagomorpha; Leporidae.